GAUUAACGCUGGCGGCGCACAUAAGACAUGCAAGUCGAACGGACUUAAUCGAUUCUUUUAGAUUCGAAGCGGUUAGUGGCGGACUGGUGAGUAACACGUAAGCAACCUGCCUAUUAGAGGGGAAUAACAGUGAGAAAUCAUUGCUAAUACCGCAUAAGCUAGAGACACCGCAUGGAGUAGCUAGAAAAGGAGAAAUCCGCUAAUAGAUGGGCUUGCGUCCGAUUAGCCAGUUGGUGGGGUAACGGCCUACCAAAGCGACGAUCGGUAGCCGAGCUGAGAGGCUCAACGGCCACAUUGGGACUGAGAUACGGCCCAG
RNAcentral lists this ribosomal RNA (316 nucleotides) under uncultured bacterium. RNAcentral describes it as "bacterial SSU rRNA". It matches the Rfam family "Bacterial small subunit ribosomal RNA", at positions 28 to 334 of the family's 1533-position model. The record is from RNAcentral.